Molecule: ribosomal RNA, 368 nt
Filed under: uncultured bacterium
Lineage: Bacteria
Description: bacterial SSU rRNA
Rfam family: Bacterial small subunit ribosomal RNA
Source: RNAcentral
UAGGGUGCGAGCGUUAAUCGGAAUUACUGGGCGUAAAGCGUGCGCAGGCGGUUUGUUAAGUCUGAUGUGAAAGCCCCGGGCUCAACCUGGGAACUGCAUUGGAAACUGGCAAGCUCGAGUAUGGCAGAGGGGGGUGGAAUUCCGCGUGUAGCAGUGAAAUGCGUAGAGAUGCGGAGGAACACCGAUGGCGAAGGCAGCCCCCUGGGCCAAUACUGACGCUCAGGCACGAAAGCGUGGGGAGCAAACAGGAUUAGAUACCCUGGUAGUCCACGCCCUAAACGAUGCUCACUAGGUGUUGGGGAAGCGAUUCCUUGGUACCGAAGCUAACGCGUGAAGUGAGCCGCCUGGGGAGUACGGCCGCAAGGUUA